UGAGGAAUAUUGGGCAAUGGGCGAAAGCCUGACCCAGCCACGCCGCGUGAGUGAUGAAGGCCUUCGGGUCGUAAAGCUCUGUGGGGAGGGACGAAAAACCUUCAUUCGAAUAGGGUGAAGGCUUGACGGUACCUCCUUAGCAAGCACCGGCUAACUCUGUGCCAGCAGCCGCGGUAAUACAGAGGGUGCGAACGUUGCUCGGAUUUACUGGGCGUAAAGCGCGUGUAGGCGGACUCGCAAGUCGGUUGUGAAAUCCCUGGGCUCAACCUAGGAACUGCAUCCGAAACUGCUUGUCUUGAGUAAUGGAGAGGGUGGCGGAAUUCCCGGUGUAGAGGUGAAAUUCGUAGAUAUCGGGAGGAACAUCAGUGGCGAAGGCGGCCACCUGGACAUUUACUGACGCUGAGACGCGAAAGCGUGGGGAGCAAACAGGAUUAGAUACCCCCGUAGUCC
RNAcentral lists this ribosomal RNA (450 nucleotides) under uncultured prokaryote. RNAcentral describes it as "bacterial SSU rRNA". It matches the Rfam family "Bacterial small subunit ribosomal RNA", at positions 355 to 796 of the family's 1533-position model. The record is from RNAcentral.